GACGAACGCUGGCGGCGUGCUUAACACAUGCAAGUCGAACGGAAAGGCCUGUCCUUCCUUGUGUUGGACGGGUACUCGAGUGGCGAACGGGUGAGUAACACGUGAGUGAUCUGCCCCCAACUUGGGUAUAAGCCUGGGAAACUGGGUCUAAUUCCCGAUAGGACUGCAGGGUGGUGCCUGUGGUGGAAAACGAUUUUCUAGUGGUUGGGGAUGAGCUCGCGGCCUAUCAGCUUGUUGGUGGGGUAAUGGCCUACCAAGGCGGCGACGGGUAGCCGGCCUGAGAGGGUGGACGGCCACAUUGGGACUGGGAUCCGGCCCAGACUCGUACGGGAGGCAGCAGUGGGGAAUAUUGCACAAUGGGCGGAAGCCUGAUGCAGCGACGCCGCGUGGGGGAUGACGGCCUUCGGGUUGUAAACUCCUUUCGACCGCGAGGAAGCCGCCUGGUUGGAAGGGUGGUGACGGUAGUGGUAGAAGAAGCACCGGCUAACUACGUG
This 494-nucleotide ribosomal RNA is filed under the name uncultured bacterium. RNAcentral's name for it is "partial 16S ribosomal RNA". It matches the Rfam family "Bacterial small subunit ribosomal RNA", at positions 28 to 507 of the family's 1533-position model. The record is from RNAcentral.